GGCUUUGUAGCUCACCUGGUAGAGCGCUUGCCGCGCUGAGGCAUGCUGUGUUUGUCGCUGGUUCGAAUCCAGCCGAAGCCC
This 81-nucleotide transfer RNA is filed under the name Paragonimus westermani. RNAcentral's name for it is "tRNA-Ser". It matches the Rfam family "tRNA". Rfam says of the family: Transfer RNA (tRNA) molecules are approximately 80 nucleotides in length. Their secondary structure includes four short double-helical elements and three loops (D, anti-codon, and T loops). The record is from RNAcentral. Lineage: Eukaryota; Metazoa; Platyhelminthes; Trematoda; Plagiorchiida; Troglotrematidae.